UGCAUUCGGCUUUAUUGAGUGUUCUGGA
This 28-nucleotide small RNA is filed under the name Bombyx mori (domestic silkworm). Its description in RNAcentral is "ovarian small RNA-33618". Lineage: Eukaryota; Metazoa; Arthropoda; Insecta; Lepidoptera; Bombycidae. The record is from RNAcentral.